AGAGUUUGAUCCUGGCUCAGAACGAACGCUGGCGGCGUGGAUAAGACAUGCAAGUCGCACGGAGAAAAGAUAGUUUACUAGCUUUUCUGAGUGGCGCACGGGUGAGUAACACGUGAGCAACCUGCCUCUUAGUGGGGGAUAGCCCUGGGAAACCGGGAUUAAUACCGCAUAUCAUCGCAAGAUGAAAGCAGCAAUGCGCUAAGAGAGGGGCUCGCGGCCUAUUAGUUAGUUGGUGAGGUAACGGCUCACCAAGGCGAUGACGGGUAGCCGGUCUGAGAGGAUGUCCGGCCACACUGGAACUGAGACACGGUCCAGACACCUACGGGUGGCAGCAGUCGAGAAUCAUUCACAAUGGGGGAAACCCUGAUGGUGCGACGCCGCGUGGGGGAAGAAGGUCUUCGGAUUGUAAACCCCUGUCAUGUGGGAGCAAGCUAGCAAUAGUUGAUAGUACCACAAGAGGAAGAGACGGCUAACUCUGUGCCGGCAGCCGCGGUAAUACAGAGGUCUCAAGCGUUGUUCGGAAUCACUGGGCGUAAAGGGUACGUAGGCUGUACCAUAAGUCGGGCGUGAAAGGCA
This 576-nucleotide ribosomal RNA is filed under the name uncultured bacterium. RNAcentral's name for it is "bacterial SSU rRNA". It matches the Rfam family "Bacterial small subunit ribosomal RNA", at positions 8 to 603 of the family's 1533-position model. The record is from RNAcentral.